GACGAACGCUGGCGGCGUGCCUAAUACAUGCAAGUCGAGCGAGACUCUUCGGAGUCUAGCGGCGGACGGGUGAGUAACACGUGGGCAACCUGCCUGUAAGACUGGGAUAACACCGGGAAACCGGUGCUAAUACCGGAUAAUCCUUUUUCUCUCAUGAGGAAAAGCUGAAAGUCGGUUUCGGCUGACACUUACAGAUGGGCCCGCGGCGAAUUAGCUAGUUGGUGAGGUAACGGCUCACCAAGGCGACGAUGCGUAGCCGACCUGAGAGGGUGACCGGCCACACUGGGACUGAGACACGGCCCAGACUCCUACGGGAGGCAGCAGUAGGGAAUCUUCCACAAUGGACGAAAGGCUGAUGGAGCAACGCCGCGUGGGCGAUGAAGGCCUUCGGGUCGUAAAGCUCUGUUGUUAGGGAAGAACAAGUACCGGAGUAACUGCCGGUACCUUGACGGUACCUAACCAGAAAGCCACGGCUAACUACGUGCCAGCCGCCGCGGUAA
RNAcentral lists this ribosomal RNA (500 nucleotides) under uncultured bacterium. RNAcentral describes it as "partial 16S ribosomal RNA". It matches the Rfam family "Bacterial small subunit ribosomal RNA", at positions 28 to 523 of the family's 1533-position model. The record is from RNAcentral.